Molecule: ribosomal RNA, 253 nt
Filed under: uncultured bacterium
Lineage: Bacteria
Description: partial 16S ribosomal RNA
Rfam family: Bacterial small subunit ribosomal RNA
Source: RNAcentral
UACGUAGGGGGCAAGCGUUGUCCGGAUUUAUUGGGCGUAAAGAGCGUGUAGGCGGCCUGAAAGGUCAGCUGUGAAAACUCGAGGCUCAACCUCGAGACGUCGGUUGAAACCAUCUGGCUAGAGUCCGGAAGAGGAGUGUGGAAUUCCCGGUGUAGCGGUGAAAUGCGCAGAUAUCGGGAAGAACACCCGUGGCGAAGGCGGCACUCUGGGACGGGACUGACGCUGAGACGCGAAAGCGUGGGGAGCGAACAGG